AAUUAUUUGUUUUGGGUAUUAUUUUCUAAACCCAAUUUGUAAGUUAAAAUGUGCUAACCCAAUGUGUUGCCAAACUUUAAGCUCAAAAUAUUAAAAAAAGGCCUAUAAAAACUCUAAACCCUAACCUAUUAUUUCUCUCCCAUAUAAGGUUCCGGAACCAAACCUCUUCCCGAAGUACCUACAUCCAUCUCCAUAGCACUGUCUACUUAUGCGCCAGCUUUCUUUUCCAAAUCUACUCUCAUAUAACAUGUAACAUAAUCCAUAAACAUUUAUUUCGGGUAGAUUACUUGGGUAAUUUGUGAUGGAAAAGAAUCCAACACACACUAAAUAAAUCCACCCACGCAUUACCUUUACUAAUCAAGUUGUCAACAUGUAGUUACAAGCAAACAACACUGAUCUUUGAACAACAUCAUACAAUUUAACUUUUCUAAGUCAUUUGUACGAUUUUUGUGUGAUUUUUGUGUUGUGAGGUUGUUAGUUUGGACUUUGAAAGACUUGAUUGAUGAUUUUAGUUCAACUUUAAAUGUUUAUUUUCAUUGUCUUUGAUUCUAGUUAGAGUGUUUAUGUUAUGAUUGUGUUGGAUAUGUUAAAAUUUAAAAUUUCAAUGUUUUUCAUUUUUUGAAAAAAAAUAAAAACAAAAAACCGAAACCGAACCGAAACCGAACCGGAAAAAACCGAACCGAAAAAAAACCGAACCGAAAAAAACCGAAAAAAAAUUGAACCGAACCGAAAUUUCGGUUUGGUUUCGGUUUUGGCAAAAAACCGAACCGA
This 771-nucleotide long non-coding RNA is filed under the name Malus domestica (apple). RNAcentral describes it as "long non-coding RNA (MDOM_LNC004763)". The record is from RNAcentral. Lineage: Eukaryota; Viridiplantae; Streptophyta; Magnoliopsida; Rosales; Rosaceae.